This 255-nucleotide ribosomal RNA is filed under the name uncultured bacterium. RNAcentral's name for it is "partial 16S ribosomal RNA". It matches the Rfam family "Bacterial small subunit ribosomal RNA", at positions 524 to 776 of the family's 1533-position model. The record is from RNAcentral.
UACGAAGGGGGCUAGCGUUGUUCGGAAUUACUGGGCGUAAAGCGCGCGCAGGCGGUCUUCCAAGUCAGUGGUGAAAGCCCCGGGGCUCAACCCCCGGAACUGCCUUUGAAACUAGAUAGCUAGAAUCUUGGAGAGGUCAGUGGAAUUCCGAGUGUAGAGGUGAAAUUCGUAGAUAUUCGGAAGAACACCAGUGGCGAAGGCGACUGACUGGACAAGUAUUGACGCUGAGGUACGAAAGCGUGGGGAGCAAACAGG